Molecule: ribosomal RNA, 603 nt
Filed under: uncultured bacterium
Lineage: Bacteria
Description: bacterial SSU rRNA
Rfam family: Bacterial small subunit ribosomal RNA
Source: RNAcentral
CAUUAGCUAGUAGGUGAGGUAAGAGCUCACCUAGGCGACGAUGUGUAGCCGGUCUGAGAGGAUGAACGGCCACAAUGGAACUGAGACACGGUCCAUACUCCUACGGGAGGCAGCAGUGGGGAAUAUUGCACAAUGGGGGAAACCCUGAUGCAGCAACGCCGCGUGAGUGAAGAAGGUUUUCGGAUUGUAAAGCUCUGUUAGCAGGGAAGAGGAAGGACGGUACCUGCAGAGGAAGCCACGGCUAACUACGUGCCAGCAGCCGCGGUAAUACGUAGGUGGCAAGCGUUGUUCGGAAUAACUGGGCGUAAAGGAUGCGUAGGCGGUUGAGUAAAUUAUGUGUUAAAUAUAUAGGCUUAACCUGUAGAAAGCACAUAAAACUGUUUAACUAGAGUGCAGGAGAGGUAAGUGGAAUUCCUAGUGUAGCGGUGAAAUGCGUAGAGAUUAGGAAGAACACCAGUGGCGAAGGCGACUUACUGGACUGUAACUGACGCUGAGGCAUGAGAGCAUGGGGAGCAAACAGGAUUAGAUACCCUGGUAGUCCAUGCUGUAAACGAUGGGUACUAGGUGUGGGUUGUGAAUAACAAUCCGUGCCGUCGCAAACGC